CCUACGGGGGGCAGCAGUCGAGAAUCAUUCACAAUGGGGGAAACCCUGAUGGUGCGACGCCGCGUGGGGGAAUGAAGGUCUUCGGAUUGUAAACCCCUGUCAUGUGGGAGCAAAUUAAAAAGAUAGUACCACAAGAGGAAGAGACGGCUAACUCGGUGCCAGCAGCCGCGGUAAUACAGAGGUCUCAAGCGUUGUUCGGAAUCACUGGGCUUAAAGCGUGCGUAGGCUGUUUCGUAAGUCGUGUGUGAAAGGCGCGGGCUCAACCCGCGGACGGCACAUGAUACUGCGAGACUAGAGUAAUGUAGGGGGAAGCGGAAUUCUAGGUGUAGCAGUGAAAUGCGUAGAGAUCGAGAGGAACACUCGUGGCGAAGGCGGGUUCCUGGACAUUAACUGACGCUGAGGCACGAAGGCCAGGGGAGCGAAAGGGAUUAGAUACCCUAGUAGUC
Molecule: ribosomal RNA, 446 nt
Filed under: uncultured bacterium
Lineage: Bacteria
Description: partial 16S ribosomal RNA
Rfam family: Bacterial small subunit ribosomal RNA
Source: RNAcentral